This 253-nucleotide ribosomal RNA is filed under the name uncultured bacterium. RNAcentral's name for it is "partial 16S ribosomal RNA". It matches the Rfam family "Bacterial small subunit ribosomal RNA", at positions 524 to 776 of the family's 1533-position model. The record is from RNAcentral.
UACGUAGGGGGCAAGCGUUGUCCGGAAUCAUUGGGCGUAAAGAGCGUGUAGGCGGCCCGGUAAGUCCGCUGUGAAAGCCCCGGGCUUAACCUGGGAGGUGCGUCUGGGACUGGUGGGCUAGAGAUCGGGAGAGGAGAGUGGAAUUCCCAGUGUAGAGGUGAAAUUCGUAGAUAUUGGGAAGAACACCGGUGGCGAAGGCGGCUCUCUGGACCGAUACUGACGCUGAGGCGCGAAAGCGUGGGGAGCAAACAGG